Molecule: ribosomal RNA, 433 nt
Filed under: uncultured bacterium
Lineage: Bacteria
Description: partial 16S ribosomal RNA
Rfam family: Bacterial small subunit ribosomal RNA
Source: RNAcentral
AACGAACGCUGGCGGCAUGCCUAACACAUGCAAGUCGAACGGGACCUUCGGGUCUAGUGGCGCACGGGUGCGUAACGCGUGGGAACCUGCCCUUAGGUUCGGAAUAACUCCCCGAAAGGGGUGCUAAUACCGGGUAAUGUCUUCGGACCAAAGAUUUAUCGCCUUUGGAUGGGCCCGAGUUGGAUUAGCUUGUUGGUAGGGUAAAAGCCUACCAAGGCGUCGAUCCAUAGCUGGUCUGAGAGGAAGAUCAGCCACACUGGGACGGAGACACGGCCCAGAAUAUUGGGGAAGGCAGCAGUGGCGGAUCCUGGACUAUCGGCGAAAGGAAGAACCCGCACGGCUGGGAGAGCGAUGAAGGUCGGAGAGAAGUAAAGCUCGUUUAUCCGCCAUGAUAAUGACGGUACCGGAAGAAUAAGCACCGGCUAACUUCGUG